AAAUUGAAGAGUUUGAUCAUGGCUCAGAUUGAACGCUGGCGGCAGGCCUAACACAUGCAAGUCGAACGGUAACAGGAAWCAGCUUGCUGWUUCGCUGACGAGUGGCGGACGGGUGAGUAAUGUCUGGGAAACUGCCUGAUGGAGGGGGAUAACUACUGGAAACGGUAGCUAAUACCGCAUAACGUCGCAAGACCAAAGAGGGGGACCYUCGGGCCUCUUGCCAUCGGAUGUGCCCAGAUGGGAUUAGCUUGUUGGUGGGGUAACGGCUCACCAAGGCGACGAUCCCUAGCUGGUCUGAGAGGAUGACCAGCCACACUGGAACUGAGACACGGUCCAGACUCCUACGGGAGGCAGCAGUGGGGAAUAUUGCACAAUGGGCGCAAGCCUGAUGCAGCC
RNAcentral lists this ribosomal RNA (396 nucleotides) under Escherichia coli. RNAcentral's name for it is "bacterial SSU rRNA". It matches the Rfam family "Bacterial small subunit ribosomal RNA", at positions 1 to 393 of the family's 1533-position model. Lineage: Bacteria; Pseudomonadati; Pseudomonadota; Gammaproteobacteria; Enterobacterales; Enterobacteriaceae. The record is from RNAcentral.